Globicephala melas (long-finned pilot whale) is the source of this 1837-nucleotide long non-coding RNA. RefSeq lists it as uncharacterized. The record is from RefSeq and is a predicted model, not a curated record. Lineage: Eukaryota; Metazoa; Chordata; Mammalia; Artiodactyla; Delphinidae.
UUUAGAUCCUGCCCCCAGCCGGGAAGCAGAACCCGGGAAAGCCGCAAGCAGCGAGCGCCCUGGGAGGUGUUGCUGGAGGAGAAUGCCGAAGAGCGCAGGAUCGGUGCCCAGGCUGGCUGCAGAGCCAGAAAAAAGCAAAGGCUAGACAACGCAGCUAGCGGAAGCCUGGCGGAUGGGAGGAGGCCAGGAAGGGAUUUGGAAGGAAGGAGGGGUGGGGACGGAGAGCUGGGAGCUCUAGAGAACUAAGGAUCAGGAGCUUGGGCGCGCAACUGGUCCCCAGAGCCCGGUCUUGGCGAUCGGGUGGGAGGGGGAGGGGAAGGGGUGCGGUGCAGGUGACGGGUGGAGUAAAUGGAUGCAAAGGCUGAAGCUAAGCAGAAAAUGGAAGGCAACCUUUCCGAGAACCAGGGCGGGUGAGGACAAUCGAGCUGGGGGAACAGUAAUGAGAGAGCUGGAGAGGCACAGAAGGAGAGAGAAAUCCUGAUUGAAGAGUGAGGCCAUGGAAGGGUAAGAAAUAUACUUUGAACAGAAAAACGAAGAAAGCAAAAUGCGUCUGGAACUCAAAAUUCGAUAUAGGAAAAAAAAAAUCACGCUAAAGAGAACUUGUCCCGGAAAAUGCCGAGAGAUAGGGGAAAAAAAAAAAAAAAAGGCAUCGAGCAUACCGCAAGAACAGAAAGUGAAAGAAGGGAGAAAGGAGAGGAGACAAACCAGACAAGAAAUAGAUCCCAUAGAUGCCAAUGGUUAACUACAACAGAAAAACAUAAAUCCCCUUCGCCUGCUGUGGGCUUAAAUCCUAUGAACUUUUCUUGACACUCUAGAUCGACCUACUUUUCUAGAUUUGGUUCUGGUGCACUGUUCUCCAUGGAGUUUUUCUUGGCCUCCCAAGUCUAGGGUGGACACCCCUCCCCUCCACCUCUGUAAGAUUCGGUGCCAACCACAUUUGCUACAGCAUCUACUGCUCGGUACCAUAUUUGUCUGUUUUCUUUUCUUUUCUCUUCAUAUCCCUCUGGCCUCAGAGGGACUUUCCCUGACCUUAUCAUUCCCUUUUUGAAAACAUGAAAUGGUUUUCCAAUGCACAGAAUAUAAUGUGGUUUAAAAACCACUGACCAGGGCUUCCCUGGUGGAGCAGUGGUUAAGAAUCCGCCUGCCAAUGCAGGGGACACGGGUUCAAGUCCUGGUCCGGGCAGAUCCCACGUGCCACGGAGCAACUAAGCCUGUGUGCCACAACUACAGAGCCUGCGCUCUAGAGCCUGCGAGCCACAACAAUGGAAGCCUGCGCACCUAGAGCCCGUGCUCCUCAACAAGAGAAGCCACCGCAAUGAGAAGCCCAUGCACCGCAACGAAGAGCAGCCCCUGCUUGUCACAACUAGAGAAAGCCCGCGUGCAGCAAUGAAGAUCCAAUGCAGCUAAAAAUUAAAUAAUUAAUAAAAAAAAUUUCAAGUAAAUAAAAACCACAGACCACAAGACCCAACACAACCAGUGUCUGCCCAUACUUUCAAUCUAAAUAUCAUUCCAUUCCUCCCUACCUACUCCCACAUUCACCAUGCUCCAGUCACUCUGAUCUUUUCUCAGUAAUGCAUUCAGGUAUUCAUUCAUUCAGCAAGCAUUCAUGCAACAAACCAAGUACAGAGAACACAACUCAAGAACUGGUUCACAAGAUAAUCAUUGCCCCAUCUCACAUACUCCAAAUACUAUCUAGAUUCAGGACCUCUGUAUAGGCUCUAAACUGUUUUAUUCAUCACUGUUCACUCUCCAUCUGACAAUGUACCUGGCACAUAGUAGGUGCUCAAUCAGUAUUAAUAGACUAGAUGAAUAAAUGAAUGUGUCAGUAAUGAAUAAA